This 440-nucleotide ribosomal RNA is filed under the name uncultured bacterium. Its description in RNAcentral is "partial 16S ribosomal RNA". It matches the Rfam family "Bacterial small subunit ribosomal RNA", at positions 338 to 795 of the family's 1533-position model. The record is from RNAcentral.
CCUACGGGGGGCUGCAGUGGGGAAUAUUGCACAAUGGGGGAAACCCUGAUGCAGCGACGCCGCGUGAGUGAAGAAGUAUUUCGGUAUGUAAAGCUCUAUCAGCAGGGAAGAAAAUGACGGUACCUGAUUAAGAAGCCCCGGCUAACUACGUGCCAGCAGCCGCGGUAAUACGUAGGGGGCAAGUGUUAUCCGGAUUUACUGGGUGUAAAGGGAGCGUAGACGGCAGCACAAGUCUGGAGUGAAAUGCCGGGGCUUAACCCCGGAACUGCUUUGGAAACUGUGCAGCUAGAGUGCAGGAGGGGCAGGCGGAAUUCCUGGUGUAGCGGUGAAAUGCGUAGAUAUCAGGAGGAACACCGGCGGCGAAGGCGGCCUGCUGGACCGUAACUGACGUUGAGGCUCGAAAGCGUGGGGAGCAAACAGGAUUAGAUACCCGGGUAGUC